GGUUGCGAUCAUACCGACACUAAUGCACCGGAUCCUAUCAGAACUUCGCAGUUAAGCUUGCUUGGGCGAGAGUAGUACUAGGAUGGGUGACCCCCUGGGAAGUCCUCGUGUUGCAACCCC
Molecule: ribosomal RNA, 120 nt
Filed under: Helianthus annuus (common sunflower)
Lineage: Eukaryota; Viridiplantae; Streptophyta; Magnoliopsida; Asterales; Asteraceae
Source: RNAcentral